This 1023-nucleotide long non-coding RNA is filed under the name Chrysemys picta bellii (western painted turtle). Its description in RNAcentral is "lncRNA (ENSCPBG00000003268.1)". The record is from RNAcentral. Lineage: Eukaryota; Metazoa; Chordata; Testudines; Emydidae.
UGAAAGAAAAUGUACAAUCAAAUGAAGUAAAAAUCUUAAGCAAAUCCGCAUGUUCCAUAGAAUAUCUAUGGAUAGAAAUUUCAUGCUCUAAUAAGAAUAUAACAUUAGGUAUCUAUUAUCGACCACCUGACCAGGAUGGUGAUAGUGAUGAUGAAAUGCUAAGGGAAAUUAGAGAGGCUAUCAAAAUUAAGAACUCAAUAAUAGUGGGGGAUUUCAAUUAUCCCCAUAUUGACUGGGAACGUUUCACUUCAGGACGAAAUGCAGAGAUAAAAUUUCUCGAUACUUUAAAUGACUGCUUCAUGGAGCAGCUGGUACUGGAACCCACAAGGGGAGAGGCAACUCUAGAUUUAGUCCUGAGUGGAGCGCAGGAGCUGGUCCAAGAGGUAACUAUAGCAGGACCGCUUGGAAAUAGUGACCAUAAUACAAUCGCAUUCAACAUCCCUGUGGUGGGAAGAACAUCUCAACAGCCCAACACUGUGGCAUUUAAUUUCAAAAGGGGGAACUAUGCAAAAAUGAGGGGGUUAGUUAAACAGAAGUUAAAAGGUACAGUGACUAAAGUGAAAUCCCUGACAGCUGCAUGGGCGCUUUUUAAAGACACCAUAAUAGAGGCCCAACUUCAAUGUAUCCCCCAAAUUAAGAAACCUAGUAAAAGAACUAAAAAAGAGCCACUGUGGCUUAACAACCACGUAAAAGAAGCAGUGAGAGAUAAAAAGGCUUCCUUUAAAAAGUGGAAGUCAAAUCCUAGUGAGGCAAAUAGAAAGGAGCAUAAACGCUGCCAAAUUAAGUGCAAGAAUGUAAGAAGAAAAGCCAAAGAGGAGUUUGAAGAACGGCUAGCCAAAAACUCCAAAGGUAAUAGCAAAAUGUUUGUUUUUUAAGUACAUCAGAAGCAGGAAGCCUGCUAAACAACCAGUGGAGCCCCUUGAUGAUCGAGAUACAAAAGGAGCGCUUAAAGACGAUAAAGUCAUUGCGGAGAAACUAAAUGGAUUCUUUGCUUCAGCCUUCACAGCUGAGGAUGUUUGGGAG